This 988-nucleotide ribosomal RNA is filed under the name Staphylococcus aureus. RNAcentral's name for it is "partial 23S ribosomal RNA". It matches the Rfam family "Bacterial large subunit ribosomal RNA", at positions 599 to 1585 of the family's 2925-position model. The record is from RNAcentral. Lineage: Bacteria; Bacillati; Bacillota; Bacilli; Caryophanales; Staphylococcaceae.
GCGUGCCUUUUGUAGAAUGAACCGGCGAGUUACGAUUUGAUGCAAGGUUAAGCAGUAAAUGUGGAGCCGUAGCGAAAGCGAGUCUGAAUAGGGCGUUUAGUAUUUGGUCGUAGACCCGAAACCAGGUGAUCUACCCUUGGUCAGGUUGAAGUUCAGGUAACACUGAAUGGAGGACCGAACCGACUUACGUUGAAAAGUGAGCGGAUGAACUGAGGGUAGCGGAGAAAUUCCAAUCGAACCUGGAGAUAGCUGGUUCUCUCCGAAAUAGCUUUAGGGCUAGCCUCAAGUGAUGAUUAUUGGAGGUAGAGCACUGUUUGGACGAGGGGCCCCUCUCGGGUUACCGAAUUCAGACAAACUCCGAAUGCCAAUUAAUUUAACUUGGGAGUCAGAACAUGGGUGAUAAGGUCCGUGUUCGAAAGGGAAACAGCCCAGACCACCAGCUAAGGUCCCAAAAUAUAUGUUAAGUGGAAAAGGAUGUGGCGUUGCCCAGACAACUAGGAUGUUGGCUUAGAAGCAGCCAUCAUUUAAAGAGUGCGUAAUAGCUCACUAGUCGAGUGACACUGCGCCGAAAAUGUACCGGGGCUAAACAUAUUACCGAAGCUGUGGAUUGUCCUUUGGACAAUGGUAGGAGAGCGUUCUAAGGGCGUUGAAGCAUGAUCGUAAGGACAUGUGGAGCGCUUAGAAGUGAGAAUGCCGGUGUGAGUAGCGAAAGACGGGUGAGAAUCCCGUCCACCGAUUGACUAAGGUUUCCAGAGGAAGGCUCGUCCGCUCUGGGUUAGUCGGGUCCUAAGCUGAGGCCGACAGGCGUAGGCGAUGGAUAACAGGUUGAUAUUCCUGUACCACCUAUAAUCGUUUUAAUCGAUGGGGGGACGCAGUAGGAUAGGCGAAGCGUGCGAUUGGAUUGCACGUCUAAGCAGUAAGGCUGAGUAUUAGGCAAAUCCGGUACUCGUUAAGGCUGAGCUGUGAUGGGGAGAAGACAUUGUGUCUU